CCCUACGGGGGGCAGCAGUAGGGAAUAUUGCGCAAUGGGCGAAAGCCUGACGCAGCGACACCGUGUGGAGGAUGAAGGUCUUCGGAUCGUAAACUCCUGUCAAUUGGGGACGAAGGCAGUAGGGUUAAUAGCCCGAAUGCUGACGGUACCUAAUAAGGAAGUCUCGGCUAACUCCGUGCCAGCAGCCGCGGUAAGACGGAGGAGGCAAGCGUUGUCCGGAAUCAUUGGGCGUAAAGAGCGCGUAGGCGGUUUUUCAAGUCAUGUGUGAAAACUUCAGGCUCAACUUGAAGAUUGCAUAUGAAACUGAAAAACUAGAGUAAGGCAGAGGAAAGUGGAAUUCCUGGUGUAGCGGUGAAAUGCGCAGAUAUCAGGAAGAACACCGGUGGCGAAGGCGGCUUUCUAGGCCGUUACUGACGCUGAGGCGCGAAAGCUAGGGGCGCGAACAGGAUUAGAUACCCUAGUAGUCAA
This 468-nucleotide ribosomal RNA is filed under the name uncultured bacterium. Its description in RNAcentral is "bacterial SSU rRNA". It matches the Rfam family "Bacterial small subunit ribosomal RNA", at positions 337 to 797 of the family's 1533-position model. The record is from RNAcentral.